GACGAACGCUGGCGGCGUGCUUAACACAUGCAAGUCGAACGAUGAACCUCGAAAUGAUUUCUUCGGAAAGAUUUUUGAGAGGAUUAGUGGCGAACGGGUGAGUAACGCUUGAGCAACCUGCCUUAGACAAGGGGAUAGCCUCGGGAAACCGUGAUUAAUACCCUAUGAGACUCCACUUACGAGUGUAAGAGAUGUUAAAGCUAUUGCGGUCUAAGAUGGGCUCGCGUCUGAUUAGCUAGUUGGUGAGAUAAAAGCCCACCAAGGCGACGAUCAGUAACCGGCAUGAGAGAGUGAACGGUCACAUUGGAACUGAGACACGGUACAAACUCCUACGGGAGGCAGCAGUGGGGGAUAUUGCACAAUGGGGGCAACGCUGAUGCAGCGACGCCGCGUGAGCGAUGAAGGAAUUCGUUACGUAAAGCUCUGUCCUUGGAGAAGAUAAUGACGGUAACCAAGGAGGAAGCACCGGCUAAAUACGUG
This 480-nucleotide ribosomal RNA is filed under the name uncultured bacterium. RNAcentral's name for it is "partial 16S ribosomal RNA". It matches the Rfam family "Bacterial small subunit ribosomal RNA", at positions 28 to 507 of the family's 1533-position model. The record is from RNAcentral.